UCUUCCGCAAUGGACGAAAGUCUGACGGAGCAACGCCGCGUGAACGAAGAAGGCCUUCGGGUCGUAAAGUUCUGUUGUUAGGGAAGAACAAGUACCAGAGUAACUGCUGGUACCUUGACGGUACCUAACCAGAAAGCCACGGCUAACUACGUGCCAGCAGCCGCGGUAAUACGUAGGUGGCAAGCGUUGUCCGGAAUUAUUGGGCGUAAAGCGCGCGCAGGUGGUUCUUUAAGUCUGAUGUGAAAGCCCACGGCUCAACCGUGGAGGGUCAUUGGAAACUGGGGAACUUGAGUGCAGAAGAGGAAAGUGGAAUUCCAAGUGUAGCGGUGAAAUGCGUAGAGAUUUGGAGGAACACCAGUGGCGAAGGCGACUUUCUGGUCUGUAACUGACACUGAGGCGCGAAAGCGUGGGGAGCAAACAGGAUUAGAUACCCUGGUAGUCCACGCCGUAAACGAUGAGUGCUAAGUGUUAGAGGGUUUCCGCCCUUUAGUGCUGCAGCUAACGCAUUAAGCACUCCGCCUGGGGAGUACGGCCGCAAGGCUGAAACUCAAAGGAAUUGACGGGGGCCCGCACAAGCGGUGGAGCAUGUGGUUUAUUUCGAAGCAACGCGAAGAACCUUACCAGGUCUUGACAUCCUCUGACAACCCUAGAGAUAGGG
This 658-nucleotide ribosomal RNA is filed under the name Bacillus sp. (in: firmicutes). RNAcentral describes it as "bacterial SSU rRNA". It matches the Rfam family "Bacterial small subunit ribosomal RNA", at positions 362 to 1011 of the family's 1533-position model. Lineage: Bacteria; Bacillati; Bacillota; Bacilli; Caryophanales; Bacillaceae. The record is from RNAcentral.